Long non-coding RNA from Prosopis cineraria, 9737 nucleotides. RefSeq lists it as uncharacterized. The transcript is spliced from 4 exons. NCBI's taxonomy places the organism in Eukaryota, Viridiplantae, Streptophyta, Magnoliopsida, Fabales, Fabaceae. The record is from RefSeq and is a predicted model, not a curated record.
CCUCCUUCAUUUAUGUGUUGCAGUGACAGUGCACCAGAAAUUUCUUCCUCCCAUGAAACGCGUCACUGUCGCCUGAGUGUUUGCUAAUUGGUGAAAGAUUUAUAAUGGUCUGACCGUUGCUGCUACAGGUUGAAGUUAUGAAGAGCACCGUUCAGCUUGCUGACCUUCUCCCCUGUUCGAUAUGUCUGUAUGCGUGUGACUGAACCUUCUUCCUUUUUCCUGUUCUGUCGUGAUUGAUCUGGAGCUAAGGAGUUUCAAAUUUUUUCUUCGUUCCUCUGCUGCCUUUGUGGGUUCUGCUGGACCGUCCUCAACCUCGGCCUUCGCUAACUCUUCUUUAGCCGUUGUGAGCUAGCACCUCAAGUCUGCCACCUUAACUCGUAAUGCCCAAAGAUUAUCAACAUGGGGGGCAAUGUCCUGGACCCGGUCAGUAGCAGCAGUCAUUCGGGUCUUGGCGGCCAAAUACUCAUCCCUCACUACCCAGUUGUUCUUUAAAUAUUCGGACAGGAGGGGGAGUUCUUUGCGGCAUUAGCAGACAAUGCCAUAACACAAUGGGACUUGAGCUCACAGAAGCGUCAACUCGGACAUGGAGACCGCCUUUGCCACAGCCUCGAGAGCUCGGAUCAUUUCCUCAAAAUUUUGCUCGAGGAGGAAGAAGGGAUCGCGGCUGAGUUGGAAUUGGAUGACUCUCCAAGCAUCCAAUAUCACGUCCAUUUCAGGGACGCAAAUGCGGGAGAAAAGAGCGUCCGUAGGUACUGCCUCCAUUGCAACCAGCUGAAAAGAGUAAAAUAACAUUAGCAAAAGACUAAUACUAGGCUGGCAGGAAUGAAAAUAAAUAAGAAACAAGACUAUCUUGGAUUGGGUCCAUGAGAGCCUUGUCUUUACUCAUGAAGAAGGAAGAGCGCGUGCAGACCGUGCCAUUGAGUGCAGGGCCUUCUCCACACGAUCCGUUAGAGUGGAAAACCCGCUUGACCCUGCUCUGAGCCACCUGGAGUAGAGGCAAAGGUGGUCAGUGCAUCACCCAUAGACUUUACCUGCGACCACUCAGAGCUCCUUCCUUCUAGAAGAUUUGUUAAGUGGGAGGGAAGGAUUAGACUGAGUGGGGAGAUCAUUCGGGGGCUCGCAGUGGCAGCAAGGUCCUGGCCCCCAAGCUCCAGCUGAUCGCCUGAGGCAGUGACAACAGCUUUCCUUUAAUCAAGAGCAGCCCUGACAUUUUCUAGACUGCUUGGGGCUGCGAUAGACAGGAUAGCUCCCUGACUUUCACCACCUUCUGCUACCUCCUGGGCCACCUCUUGAGCAAAUCCAACUAGAUCCAUCGGUGUAGGCUCAGGGGUGGCGGCGGCUUGGAAGGAGACCAUUUGUAGAUCGGGGUGCUGGUUCUCCUUUUCCCUUAUUGAAUCGGACUCACUUUGCCAUCAUCGGAGUCUGCUGACAGGAUCAUCGUUCGUUGGUGCUUAUGUGUACGCCUCCCCUUUGGAGGUGUGGGGCCAAUUUAGAGAGGGGUGGAGGCAGGUUGGUUAAGUGGCGGAGGCAUUGUCUUCUUUCUCCUUUUCGCCUCAAGAGAAGGGGAUGGAGCCCGCUUCCUUUUGUCUGGAAUUUCUCCUCGAUCAGGACAACUGGAGGAGAUCUUCUUGGCCCUAGACUUUUUAAAGAUUGGGGGAACGGAAAGUUGGAAGCAUCAUCUUGCUCCAUCCCUUAGACCACAAUCCUUACAGAAGGGGCCGUCGAGGUAUCGGAAGCAGCGGGGGCAUCAAUACCCUUAAAAAGGUCACCAACGUGUGGGACUUUGUGCAAUCAUGGUCUGCAUAGAAUAAGACAGGUUUAGUCUAAGGAAACAAAAAAAGGAUAAAACUAAAGUAGAAUGUGGAGGAAACACUUACUGGUGUGGCUCUUUAUUAUGUGCCUAAAGUACUGGGGCUACCAUUUGUUGAUGCGGAGGCAGGCGUCUCUAUCUACAAGUUUCACUUUGCACUGCCUCUGGGUGGUGGGUGGAACGACUAUCUGAUCAAUAGCCUCUCUAUCCAGCAGCUCCAUGUUGAAUUAGGGGGACAGGCCUUGAGGGACACAGUGGCUCAGUCUAAACUAGCCCGCUACCAGUUGAGGAUGAUAAGACUUCAAGUAUACUCUGAGAGACUUGGAGGAGGAGCCAGUGUAUGGCAGCCACAUCUUUUGGGGAGUGGUGGUUGAGAGAAAGACCUCAUCCCUUAGAGAGUUGGCGGGCUUAUUCUUCUUCACCAUAUAUUUGUAACAGGUAGGAAGGCAGCGAUCGGGGAUAUUGAAAGCUUUUAAGGUCCUCCCUAAAGACCAAUUUUGUUGACAGAAGAACUUGAAGUUCUUCGUCUCCACCAAUAGAUCACCACCCAAGAGAUAGGUGAAGGGAUGGUUGGCGCAGGAAUCAUCAGGAAAGGGCUUCGGUAGAAGGUUGGGGAAGUAGGUCGUCGUCGACAACUUUACGAACCAGACGGGCCCACUGAAGUUGCUGAAGGGCUUCUUGAUUAAGGACUCCCUCAUGCCGUCAUAGAGACGGCAUAGACACAUGGUCCUUAGGGCUAUAUGGUUGCUACAAAUAAGGGAUUGGGCGAUCCGGAGAUGCAACUACACGGGCUUUCCUCCCCUAGGGGCCAAGAUCCAUUGGCUGAGUAAGAUCUAGUUGAAGACCAAGUGCUCCAUGGCAGUGACGGGCUCAGAGGCUGGUUUCUUGGAGAACAGAUCCAUAAUCUUUGUAUAGAAGCCCACGGCCCUGAUCUUACUCUCCAAGUCAGCAGGCGGGGCGGUGUAGGAGUCGCGCUUCUCCAAGAUGGUGUAAAAGUUCUCUUCGCCGAUGAUGGGCAGCCCCAGGAACAUAAAGACGUCCCAUAGCAUGAGGGACAUCAGGCUGAGCUCAAAGAUGAAAGCAUUGUAGCCUGGAGCCGAGAAAUUGAGGAGGGUUGUCAGAAGGUCCAUGGGAAUGUCAACGUCGGUUAGAGACAGUUAAAUUAGGUCAUAUAGACCCAUUUCCUUCCACUGGAGCGCAUGAUCAGCCUUCAAACGCUUGUAUAGGAGAGGUCAUGGGUUCGAUUGCAUAGGAGCAUUGAUGUCGGAUAGGUCAGGAGAAAUCUUCAGAUAUCCGACAUCGCUUCUGUUGGAGAUUUGAAAACUCCAAGACGAAGUGUUGACAAAAAGAAAGCACAGUUAGAGCACUUUUUAAUAAAAUAAAAGGGCUAAACACUAAAGGUGAGAAACUUACUAGAAGGCCACUGAUUCAUGGAAUGAUGAACUCUCUUAGAAAAGAAAUGAACAAGAAUGAGGAUAGGAAACCAGGUUAAUAUAAAAAGGAGUUUUUUCAGACCAUGAAAUACAUACCAUUACGAGCCCGCCUAAUUGAUUCACCGGAUUACGGAUAGUUGCUAGAGAAUAUGGCAGACUACCAGUGAAAGUAGAGGAAGGGGUGGCGACAGAAGAAGCAAACGAAGCCAUUUGAAGGUUAUGAAGAAAUUUGGUAGACUGAAGACUUAAGUUCAAGAAAUGGCAAAAAAAGCAAAAGAAGUGACUAGAACCUGAAAACAAGUUUAUAUCGACAGAGGACGCUCAGAAAUGAAGCGAAGUUUUGAUUUUUUAAAACGUGCCAUGUGGCUUAUGUUACCAGCUAUUGGCACGUGAGAGGCAUUGUUUGGGCUAAAUAUGACACGUCACUCAAAUAGGUCACAAAGGUUGAGUAGUUGAAACGUCAGGCCCAAUAUAAAUAAAAGAGGCCGGCCUCGAAGCUCAUCAAAGUCAACAACACGUAAACAUGCCGAAAUCUUGUCGGCUUCAAAUAUCAGACCGUUGACAUGAAGACACGAUCCUAAGUUAUGUCGAAAUCUACACCCAAGUAGUUCAGUGAAACGGGCUGAUGGAGAGAUCGUGCCAUGAGUUUCGCGGGAUUCCUAAAUCUUCGGUAGAAUGUGCUAAGUCCCAAAGGAAAGGUUUCUGCUAUUAGACACUAUAAAUAGGAAGAAGAAAAAUAAAGAGAACAGUCAACACUCGAUCAAGACUCACAUAAUUUACAUUUAAUAGCUCUUUCAGUUCUUUAAUUUUUUGUCUGUAACUUUCAAACACUUUAAUAAAACUAUAUACUUGUUUUACCAAAACCUAUGUUUUUACAUUCGAGUGAACUGUGGUAAGGGAACUCGAGACCCUUUCAUUAUCUAUUUGAGAUCCAGUGUCUCUAGCACCCCUGGUAUUUGUUGUUCAGUCACGAACAACAUUAUUCUGAUCUUCUUGAUCAAAAAUCAAUUAUGAUGCUUUAACUGUUGUAGAUGUAGCUCUUGUACUAAUCUUGUCCAGAAUACUAGGUAGGGUUCAUAGAAGAUUUUCAUUUCAUCAUGACUGCUUCAAGAUUAACCUGGUUGUCAAAUAAUGUUUUCAGUGUGAAUGAGAUGGCAAAUGACUUGAAACAUUUUUUUUGUGUAGUUCUUUAAUAUGUUUAUGUGUGUGUGUGUAUAUCAAAUUAAUUAUAAUCUCUGAUAGCUGAGUAGAAUGAUAUAAUUUUAGCCUCUAUGCAUUGUAUUGGCUGAGAAAAAUUUGAUUAUCAUCAGAAUUUAGAGUUUAUAAUCUCUUCUUUAACAUGAUGGCUACUGUUCUUCUUACUUCUUGUUGUCAUUGUGAUGAAGCAGCUUGGUUGAACCAGUUAACAUAUGCGACAGAAUCUAAAUUGUUUUAGGGAGAAUUAUGAUUGAGCAAAAUCUAAAUUGUUUUAGGGAGAAUUAUGAUUGAGCUAAUAUAUGCAAAUUUCACUUUAUUUCACAAAGUCAAGUGAACAAACUAUUUUUUUUUGUCCUUUUUUGGGGUCUUUUUUUUUAAGGUGGUGUGGAUGAGAUUUUGGCAAUUCAUAUAAAUUAAAAAAAUUCAACACUUUUGAAUGCUCAGAAGCAUGAAUAAUGUAAAUUGAAAAUAGCCUUUUAAGUAUUUUUUUGGGCAAUAAUCUCUGAUGAUUACUCGUAGCAAUUCAAUAAAUAAAAUAUAUUAACAGAGACGAACAUUUGUUGUCCCAAGAACAAAGCAAUUCAAAUUAUGGAUCCUAAUAUAUUAAUUAUAUUAAUAGAAAUUAUAUAUAAUAUAUAAAUAUCGCCCGUCUCUACCCAAGAUCCCAGUCUCAAUUCCAUUUUUGUCUAAAUUUCAGAGUAAAUGGGCUUCUAGGUGUGGUAUUGAUUAGUGAUUCUUUCAGGACUGUGGCUUGUCACAUGAGUCUAAAUUCCAUAUUUUCGUAUGUAAAAGAAAGUAUAAAUAUCUUCAUAGGCCAGAUGCUCACUAAUGAGUACAGCAUCCUCAAAAUUGUAACCUUCCCACGGAAGGAGUCCUUGACCUGCAAUAGAUAGAAGAUGAUUUAUUCAAUCAUAUAGUUUGGGCUCUUAGAAUAUGGCGCCCUUGGGGCCUUCUAUUUGAAUAUUGGGAGCUUCUAUUUCAGAGCUUGUGCAUACCAUCUGCGAAUGGUUUUCAACAAUUUUAUUAGUGCAUAGAUAUCAAAGUUAAGUAAUUUCGAAGGCCAAAAUUAUGAUUUUGUUCGUGGUUGAACAACAAAUACCAGGCGUGCCAGAGACGUUGGGUCUUAAAUAGAUAACAAAAGGGUUCCAAGUUUCCUUACCAUAGUUAGCUCGGAUGUAAAAAGAUAGUAGCUUUGGUAGAACAAGUAUGUAAUUUUAUUGAAGUGUUUGGAAGUUACAGACAAAAAACUAAAAAACUGAAAGGGCUAGUAAAUGUAAAUUAUGCGAGACUUGAUCGAGUGUUGACUGUUCUCUCUAUUUUUCUUCUUAUUUAUAGUGUCUGAUAGCAGAAGCCUUUCUUUGGGGACUUAGCACGUUCUACUAAAGAUUCAAGAAUCCCACGAAACUCAUGGCACGGUCUCUCCAUUGGUCCGUUUCACUGAACUACUUGAGUGUAGAUUUUGGCAUCACUUAGGAUCGUGUCUUCGUGCUAAUGAUCUAAUAUUUGAAGUUGAUGGGAUUUCAGCAUAUUUACGUGUUGUGGACUUUGAUAAGCUUUGGGGCCGGCCUCUUUUGUUUAUAUUGGGCCUAACAUUUCAACUAUUUAGCCCAACUAGCUUUGUGACCUAUUUGAGCGACGUUUCAUAUUUAGCCCAAACAAUGCCUCUCGCGUGUAAAUAGCUGGUAACAUAAGCCACGUGGCAUGUUUUAAAAAAUUAAAACGUCGCUUCAUUUCUGAACACCCUCUGCCAAUAUAAACUUUUUUUUUCAGGUUUUGGUCACUUCUCUUGCUUUUUUGCCAUUUUUUGAACUUCAAGUCUUCAGUCUACUAAAUUUCUUCGUAACCUUCAAAUGGCUUCGUUCACUUCUUCUGCCGCCGCCCCUUCCUCUACUUCCACUAGUAGUCUGCCGGAGUCUCUAGCAACUAUCCGUAAUCCGGUGAAUCAAUUAGUUGGGCUCGUAACGGUAUGUAUUUUGUGGUCUGAAAAAACUCCUUUUUAUAUUAGCUUGGUUUCCUAUCCUGAUUCUCAUUCAUUUCUUUUUUAAGAGAGUUUGUCAUUCCACAAAUCAGUGGCCUUCUAGUAAGUUUUUCACCUCUAGUGUUUAGCCCUUUUAUUUUAUUUAAAAGUGCUCUAACUGUGCUUCCUUUUUGUCAGCACUUCACCUUGGAGUUUCCAAAUCUCCAACAAAAGCAACGUCGGAUAUCUAAUGAUUUCUCCUGACCUGUCCAACGUCAAUGCUCCUGCGCAAUCAAACCUAUGGCCAUUGACCUCUCUUUAUAACUUGGUCUUGGCCUAGACGAGUACUCCCUUCUCCAAGUCGUCCUGCAGAAAGCUCAAGAACUAGCCCUGGUUCCUUCGUGCUUGGGUCAACUGGGUGAAGCAUUUGAAGGCUAAUCAUGCACCCCAGUGGAAAGAAAAGGGUCUAUAUGAUCUAAUUCAACUGUCUUUGGCUGACGUUGAUGUGCCCGUAGACCUUCUGACAGCCCUCUUCAGUUUCCGGGCUCCGGGCUGCAAUGCUUUCAUCUUCAAGCUCAGCCCAAUGUUCCUCACGUCAUGAGAUGUCUUCAUGUUCCUAGGGCUGCCCAUCACCGGGGAAGAGAACUUCUAUGCCAUCCUCGAGAAGCACGACUCUUACACCGCCGUGCCUGCUGACUUGGAGAGUAAGAUCAGGGCCGCGAUCUUUUAUACAAAGAUUAUGGAGUUGUUCUCUGAGAAACCAGUCUCUGAGCUCGUCACUGCCACGGACUACGAGGGGAGGAAAGCUCGUGCAGCUGCAUCUCGGGAUCGCCUAGUCCCUUCUCUGUGGCAACCAGAUAGCCCUGGGGACCAUGUUUCUAUGCCGUUUUUAUGAUGGCAUGAGGGAGUUGCUGAUCAAGAAGCCCUUCAGCAACUUCAGUAGGACCAUCUGAUUCUUAAAGUUAUGGAUGACAACCUACUUCUCUAACUUUCAGUGGGAGCCCUUUCCUGAUGAUUCCCGUGCUAACCACCCCUUCAUUUGUUUCUUGGGUGGUCAUCCGUUGGUGGAGACGAAGAACUUCUUUAAGUUCUUCUGUCAACAAAGUUGGUCCUUGGGGAGGACCUUAAAAGCUUUCAACAUCUCCAACUGCCGCCUUCUCACCUGAUACAAAUAUAUGGUGGAGUAGAAGAACAAGCCCGCCAACUCUCUAAGGGAUGAGGUUUUUCUCUCAGCUACCACUCCUCAGAAGAUGUAGCUGCCAUACGUUGGCUCCUCCUCUAAGUCUUUUAGAGUAUACUUAGAGUCUUAUCAUCCUUGACUGGUGGCGGGUUAGUUUGGACUAAGCCAGUGCGUCCCUCGAGGCCUGUCUCCCCAAAUCAGCGUAGAGCUACUGGGCAAAGAGGCUAUUGAUCAGAUAGCCGUUCCACUCAACACCCAGAGGCAGUGCAAAGUGAAACUUGUAGAUAGAGAUGCAUGCUUCCGCUUCAACAAAUGGUGGCACUAGCGCUUAAGGCGCAUAAUAAAGAGCCACACCAACCGUGAUUGGACACAGUCUCAUGUGUUGGUAACCUUUUCAAAAGGUAAUAUUGAUGCCCUCGCUGCUUCUGAGAUCCCGACGACCCCUUUCGUAAGGACCGUGGUCCAAGGGAUGGAGCAUGACAACGCUUCCUCCCAACUUUUCGUUCCCCCGGUCUCUAAAAAGUCUAGGGCUAAGAAGAUCUCCUUCAGUCAUCCUGACCGAGGGGACAUUCCAGAUAAAAGAAAGUGGGCUCCAUCCCCUUCCCUUAGGGCGAAAAGGAGAAAGACAAUGCCUUCGCCGCUUGACCAACCUGCCUACACCCCUCUCCAAAUUGGCCCCACACCUCAAAAAGGAAGGCGCAUACAUAAGCGUCAAUAGACAAUAAUCCUGUUAGUAGACUCUAACGAUGGUAGAGUGAGUCCGGUUUAACAAGGGGAGAAAGAGACCUAACACCCCGAUCUCUAAAUGGUCUCCUUCCAAGCCGCCACCACCCCUGAGCUUAUACCCAUGGAUCUAGCUGGAUUUACUCAGGAGGUGGCCCAGGAGGUAGCAAAAGGUGGUGAAAGUCAGAGAGCUGUCCUGUCUAUCGUAACCCUAAGCAGUCCAGAAAACGUCGAGGCUGCUCUUGAUCAAUAGGAAGUUGUUGUUGCUGCCUCAGGCGAUCAGCUCGAGCUUAGGGUUCAGGACCUUGCUGCCACUACGAGCCCCUGGAUGAUCUACCCACUUAAUCUAAUCCUUCCCUUCUACUUAACAAAUCCUCAAGAGGGAAGGAGCUCUGAGUGGUUGCAGGCAAAGUCCAUAGGUGAUGCACUGACCGCCCUGGUCUUUACUUAAGAUGGCUUAGCACAGGUCAAGCGAGUUUCUUCACUUUAACUGACUAUGUGGAGAAGGCCCUGCGCUCAAUAGCGCGAUCUGCACGCGCUCUUCCUUCUUCCACAAGUAAAGACAAGGCUCUUAUGGACCCAAUCUAGGUAUAGUGUUGUUUGUUAUUUAUUUUCAUUCCUGCCAGCCUAGUAUUGGUCUUUUGCUAAUGUUAUUUUACUUUCUUCAGCUCGCUGCACUGGAGGUAGUACUUACGAAUGCUCUUUUCUUCUACAUUCACGUCCCUGGAACGGACGUGAUAUUGGAUGCUUAGAGAGUCAUCCAAUUCCAACUUAGCCGCGAUUCCUUCCUCAUCCCCGAGUAAAAUUUUAAGAAAAUGAUAUGGGCUCUCGAGACUGUGGUGAAGGCGGUCUUCAUGUCCGAGUUGGCGCUUCUGUGAGCUCAAGUCCUGGCGUGUUAUGGUAUUGUCAACCAAUGCUGUAAAGAACUCCCCCUUCUGUUUGAAUAUUUAAAGAACAACUAGGCAGUGAGGGAUGACUAUUUGGCUGCCAAGACUCGAACAACUGCUGCUACUGACCAGGUCCAGGAGAUUACCCCCCGUGUUGAUAAUCUUUGGGCAUUACGGGCUAAGGUGGUGGACUUGAGGCGCUAGCUCGCAACGGCUAAAGAAAAGUUGGCGAAGGCUGAGGCUGAGGCUGAGGACGGUCCAGCAAAACUCGAACUGGAAGUUGCUACUAAAGUGCUAGAUGAGGCGCAGACCGUCUCAAAUGUUAAGUUUUGAGCUAUGCUUGAGUUUAAAAUGGUCCUCACAUGUCACUAGACCCUUUCUGCAGAUCUAGACUCGGCUUUAUCAACGUAGGAGCUUAUGUGCAGCCUUUGUAAAUAGUAUACUUUAUGUAUAAACACACACACACACACACACAUUUUUUUUAUUUAUUUAUUCUUUAUUCCUUAUAACACGAUUCAAUGAUAAUAAAGAACAAAUAUAUUUUUUCUCA